CCGCCAGAGAACUACUAGUGAAAAACUUAAAACUCAAAGGACUUGGCGGUGUCCCACAUCGACCUAGAGGAGCCUGUCCUAUAAUCGAUAAUCCUCGCUCUACCUAACCUUAGCUAGCCCCUCCAGCCUAUAUACCGCCGUCGACAGUCUACCCCAUGAGGGCCCAAUAGUAGACAAAAUAACCAUACCGCUAACACGUCAGGUCAAGGUGUAGCAAAUGCUAAGGAAGAGAUUGGCUACAUUUUUUAAUCUAAAAAUUACGAAGUGCACCAUGAAAUUCUGCACGAAGGUGAAUUUAGUAGUAAAAU
This 308-nucleotide ribosomal RNA is filed under the name Meroles reticulatus. Its description in RNAcentral is "partial 12S ribosomal RNA". It matches the Rfam family "Bacterial small subunit ribosomal RNA", at positions 869 to 1344 of the family's 1533-position model. Lineage: Eukaryota; Metazoa; Chordata; Lepidosauria; Squamata; Lacertidae. The record is from RNAcentral.